RNAcentral lists this ribosomal RNA (251 nucleotides) under uncultured bacterium. Its description in RNAcentral is "partial 16S ribosomal RNA". It matches the Rfam family "Bacterial small subunit ribosomal RNA", at positions 524 to 776 of the family's 1533-position model. The record is from RNAcentral.
UACGUAGGUCCCGAGCGUUGUCCGGAUUUAUUGGGCGUAAAGCGAGCGCAGGUGGUUUAUUAAGUCUGGUGUAAAAGGCAGUGGCUCAACCAUUGUAUGCAUUGGAAACUGGUAGACUUGAGUGCAGGAGAGGGAGUGGAAUUCCAUGUGUAGCGGUGAAAUGCGUAGAUAUAUGGAGGAACACCGGUGGCGAAAGCGGCUCUCUGGCCUGUAACUGACACUGAGGCUCGAAAGCGUGGGGAGCAAACAGG